This is a long non-coding RNA of Thamnophis elegans (Western terrestrial garter snake), 1939 nucleotides long. RefSeq lists it as uncharacterized. NCBI's taxonomy places the organism in Eukaryota, Metazoa, Chordata, Lepidosauria, Squamata, Natricidae. The record is from RefSeq and is a predicted model, not a curated record. The transcript is spliced from 6 exons.
AGCUGACUCUGUAAAAGAGCUCAGGGAGGGCUGUAAAAGCACUAUGAAGCGGUAUGUAAGCCUAAAUGCUAUUGCCAAAGAAAAGACCAAUGGCCAAUGAAAAGUAGUGGACCCAUCCUCUUAUCCUUCUGUGGAUACCCCAAAGCCUGCAGGCCAGGCAUACUUCUUCGUUCAGUUGUAUCAUUAUCAGGAACUUCAACAUACAACGUGGCUAAAGGAUUGAUUCAAAGACUCCGAUACCUCACAGUGGUAUCACCAUCAUUGGAUGUCACAGCUCUUUUUACAUCCAUAGAUCCAAAAUCUGUGACAGCGCUGACCUAACCCUAUACACCAAAAUUGAAUUAACCAGAAAUGUGGACCAUGCCAAACUACCUAACCACGUACUUUUAGUUCGGCUGAUACACAUAUCAACAGAUCAGAGGAACCCCUGCGGGAUCCCUGCUUCCUGAAUGAAUAGAGACUAUAAUAUCGAUAGCAGCCAUAUACACACAACCCAAAAUAUAGAUCAGGUACGUAGAUGACACCUUUGUCAUUAUUUAAAAGGGCCAAGUAGGGAACACGCAAGGAUCCCUUCAGCACCAUCUUCAAAGGAUUAAAAUUCAUUAGGGAAUCACAUUACCUUUCCUUGGAUAUCUUCAUUCCAGAUGGCAAAUUGGUCAUGGCAAAUGAGAAAUACACUGUCCGUUGUAAAGCCACCACCCCAACCAACAACAGACCGUUAGCAACCACGUGGCGUCACUGCAGCCCACAAUCUAACCAAAGCCCUCCAAAAUAGAAGUAAACCAAAAGACCCGGCAGCCCCCCAGAAGAAGAAGAAAAUCCAGGAAUAAUCUACAACAUACAUUGCAAGGCCCAUAACAGCCACUCUGGACAAACAGGCAGAAGAUGAGCAGGUCAAGGUCUGCAAACACCAAUUAGCAGUCAGAAGACAUGAAAACCCCUCACCAUCAAUAAACCUCCAGAUGAACCAGGAUUAACACCCAAGAUUAGCAGGCCAACCGUCAAGAAGCAAACAAUGCCCCAAUCAAGGGACUGGCAAGCUCACAGCCAUCCACCAAGGCCACUCCUACCAACGCUGAUAAGGCAAGCCCCACUCUAGUGUAUGAAAUGGGAACAAACCCUACUCCCUAGUCGAAUUGACGAUAUUACCUAGUUUGGUAAUGAGAUAUCUGCAAGAAAACGACGACGCUCAGAAAGCACCAAGGACCCUGCCGUUCAACCCUGAGCUCUUCUACCAAUACCUGUGGCAGAUUUGUAGUAGCCUUUAACAGGAUGAAAAGGCAACAGAGUUUGACCCCUUCCUUCAGCAAGAAAACGAGAUCGGAACCAGAUACAACAGUAUUGGCCUCGGGUGAUCCAAAAUCAUCACAAGCACCAUUACAAGCACCAUCGCUUGUGAGCAAGAAGAGAAGAGCAGAACCAGACUCAACUUGCAAGCUGCAAGUUGACAGCUGGUUUUCCCUGGUGAGCCCACAGCAUCAGAUGAAGAAACAGGCAUGGUGGAGGAGGACGUGACACCUGUCGUGCUGACCCUUCUGAAAAGGUGAUCCGUGAAAAGCAGUGAGCCUUUUAUCGAAACACCCGCAAAAUAAAUCUCAGUGGGAAUCUGCAAAGUUGGUGGAAAGUGGACUUCAAGCCAAAGGUUUCUGGCUCUUGGAAGAAUGCCAAGGGGAAGACAUGGGACAGAAUGGCCUCUGCCCAAAUAUUUGGGUAUUAAGUAAUGCUUGAAAAAUUGUGGAACCUGCUGAUUAACUUACAAAGCCGUGAGGUGUGCUUCUUGCAAGCAGCCAUAUUCUGGAGUGCUUCUCAUUGUUAAACAGAUUUUUCUUUGAAUAACCUAGCUCUCUCCAAUUGUAUUUGUGGUUUUGCUGUACUAUGGUUGAUUAAUGAAUCAGCUUAUUUAAUAAAUCACACAACCUGUGAAAUCUUAUUUCGUGAA